CAUUUCAAUAGAUUUCUCUUCAGUUUAUUCUCGUCAUUUCAAUUCCAAUUUUAGGAUAAUCUAAGUCACUUUCACCACAAAUCCAACCACCCUGAUACAAAAUUAAUUCUACAUAUAAUUAAAAUCCACCUCCUCGUGGGAUCGACACUCGUCACCAUUAAUAUAUUCUACAAUAGAUUCGUGCACUUGCGAGUUCAAUAAAAUUUGUACAACAA
Molecule: long non-coding RNA, 215 nt
Filed under: Citrus sinensis (sweet orange)
Lineage: Eukaryota; Viridiplantae; Streptophyta; Magnoliopsida; Sapindales; Rutaceae
Description: long non-coding RNA (CSIN_LNC004194)
Source: RNAcentral